UACGUAGGUAGCAAGCGUUGUCCGGAUUUACUGGGCGUAAAGAGCGCGCAGGCGGUCGUUCAAGUCGCGUGUGAAAGCCCCCGGCUCAACUGGGGAGGGUCACGCGAUACUGAUCGACUCGAAGGCAGGAGAGGGUAGUGGAAUUCCCGGUGUAGUGGUGAAAUGCGUAGAUAUCGGGAGGAACACCAGUGGCGAAGGCGACUACCUGGCCUGUUCUUGACGCUGAGGCGCGAAAGCUAGGGGAGCAAACGGG
RNAcentral lists this ribosomal RNA (253 nucleotides) under uncultured bacterium. Its description in RNAcentral is "partial 16S ribosomal RNA". It matches the Rfam family "Bacterial small subunit ribosomal RNA", at positions 524 to 776 of the family's 1533-position model. The record is from RNAcentral.